Molecule: non-coding RNA, 71 nt
Organism: Candidatus Kaiserbacteria bacterium
Lineage: Bacteria; Candidatus Kaiseribacteriota
Source: Rfam
CGGGCUGUGGUAUAACGGCAUUACGCAUGGCUGGGGGUCAUGCAACCCGGGUUCGACUCCCGGCAGCCCGA